RNAcentral lists this ribosomal RNA (2903 nucleotides) under Escherichia coli. Its description in RNAcentral is "23S ribosomal RNA". It matches the Rfam family "Bacterial large subunit ribosomal RNA". The record is from RNAcentral. Lineage: Bacteria; Pseudomonadati; Pseudomonadota; Gammaproteobacteria; Enterobacterales; Enterobacteriaceae.
UUAAGCGACUAAGCGUACACGGUGGAUGCCCUGGCAGUCAGAGGCGAUGAAGGACGUGCUAAUCUGCGAUAAGCGUCGGUAAGGUGAUAUGAACCGUUAUAACCGGCGAUUUCCGAAUGGGGAAACCCAGUGUGAUUCGUCACACUAUCAUUAACUGAAUCCAUAGGUUAAUGAGGCGAACCGGGGGAACUGAAACAUCUAAGUACCCCGAGGAAAAGAAAUCAACCGAGAUUCCCCCAGUAGCGGCGAGCGAACGGGGAGCAGCCCAGAGCCUGAAUCAGUGUGUGUGUUAGUGGAAGCGUCUGGAAAGGCGCGCGAUACAGGGUGACAGCCCCGUACACAAAAAUGCACAUGCUGUGAGCUCGAUGAGUAGGGCGGGACACGUGGUAUCCUGUCUGAAUAUGGGGGGACCAUCCUCCAAGGCUAAAUACUCCUGACUGACCGAUAGUGAACCAGUACCGUGAGGGAAAGGCGAAAAGAACCCCGGCGAGGGGAGUGAAAAAGAACCUGAAACCGUGUACGUACAAGCAGUGGGAGCCUCUUUAUGGGGUGACUGCGUACCUUUUGUAUAAUGGGUCAGCGACUUAUAUUCUGUAGCAAGGUUAACCGAAUAGGGGAGCCGAAGGGAAACCGAGUCUUAACUGGGCGUUAAGUUGCAGGGUAUAGACCCGAAACCCGGUGAUCUAGCCAUGGGCAGGUUGAAGGUUGGGUAACACUAACUGGAGGACCGAACCGACUAAUGUUGAAAAAUUAGCGGAUGACUUGUGGCUGGGGGUGAAAGGCCAAUCAAACCGGGAGAUAGCUGGUUCUCCCCGAAAGCUAUUUAGGUAGCGCCUCGUGAAUUCAUCUCCGGGGGUAGAGCACUGUUUCGGCAAGGGGGUCAUCCCGACUUACCAACCCGAUGCAAACUGCGAAUACCGGAGAAUGUUAUCACGGGAGACACACGGCGGGUGCUAACGUCCGUCGUGAAGAGGGAAACAACCCAGACCGCCAGCUAAGGUCCCAAAGUCAUGGUUAAGUGGGAAACGAUGUGGGAAGGCCCAGACAGCCAGGAUGUUGGCUUAGAAGCAGCCAUCAUUUAAAGAAAGCGUAAUAGCUCACUGGUCGAGUCGGCCUGCGCGGAAGAUGUAACGGGGCUAAACCAUGCACCGAAGCUGCGGCAGCGACGCUGAUGCGUUGUUGGGUAGGGGAGCGUUCUGUAAGCCUGUGAAGGUGUGCUGUGAGGCAUGCUGGAGGUAUCAGAAGUGCGAAUGCUGACAUAAGUAACGAUAAAGCGGGUGAAAAGCCCGCUCGCCGGAAGACCAAGGGUUCCUGUCCAACGUUAAUCGGGGCAGGGUGAGUCGACCCCUAAGGCGAGGCCGAAAGGCGUAGUCGAUGGGAAACAGGUUAAUAUUCCUGUACUUGGUGUUACUGCGAAGGGGGGACGGAGAAGGCUAUGUUGGCCGGGCGACGGUUGUCCCGGUUUAAGCGUGUAGGCUGGUUUUCCAGGCAAAUCCGGAAAAUCAAGGCUGAGGCGUGAUGACGAGGCACUACGGUGCUGAAGCAACAAAUGCCCUGCUUCCAGGAAAAGCCUCUAAGCAUCAGGUAACAUCAAAUCGUACCCCAAACCGACACAGGUGGUCAGGUAGAGAAUACCAAGGCGCUUGAGAGAACUCGGGUGAAGGAACUAGGCAAAAUGGUGCCGUAACUUCGGGAGAAGGCACGCUGAUAUGUAGGUGAGGUCCCUCGCGGAUGGAGCUGAAAUCAGUCGAAGAUACCAGCUGGCUGCAACUGUUUAUUAAAAACACAGCACUGUGCAAACACGAAAGUGGACGUAUACGGUGUGACGCCUGCCCGGUGCCGGAAGGUUAAUUGAUGGGGUUAGCGGUAACGCGAAGCUCUUGAUCGAAGCCCCGGUAAACGGCGGCCGUAACUAUAACGGUCCUAAGGUAGCGAAAUUCCUUGUCGGGUAAGUUCCGACCUGCACGAAUGGCGUAAUGAUGGCCAGGCUGUCUCCACCCGAGACUCAGUGAAAUUGAACUCGCUGUGAAGAUGCAGUGUACCCGCGGCAAGACGGAAAGACCCCGUGAACCUUUACUAUAGCUUGACACUGAACAUUGAGCCUUGAUGUGUAGGAUAGGUGGGAGGCUUUGAAGUGUGGACGCCAGUCUGCAUGGAGCCGACCUUGAAAUACCACCCUUUAAUGUUUGAUGUUCUAACGUUGACCCGUAAUCCGGGUUGCGGACAGUGUCUGGUGGGUAGUUUGACUGGGGCGGUCUCCUCCUAAAGAGUAACGGAGGAGCACGAAGGUUGGCUAAUCCUGGUCGGACAUCAGGAGGUUAGUGCAAUGGCAUAAGCCAGCUUGACUGCGAGCGUGACGGCGCGAGCAGGUGCGAAAGCAGGUCAUAGUGAUCCGGUGGUUCUGAAUGGAAGGGCCAUCGCUCAACGGAUAAAAGGUACUCCGGGGAUAACAGGCUGAUACCGCCCAAGAGUUCAUAUCGACGGCGGUGUUUGGCACCUCGAUGUCGGCUCAUCACAUCCUGGGGCUGAAGUAGGUCCCAAGGGUAUGGCUGUUCGCCAUUUAAAGUGGUACGCGAGCUGGGUUUAGAACGUCGUGAGACAGUUCGGUCCCUAUCUGCCGUGGGCGCUGGAGAACUGAGGGGGGCUGCUCCUAGUACGAGAGGACCGGAGUGGACGCAUCACUGGUGUUCGGGUUGUCAUGCCAAUGGCACUGCCCGGUAGCUAAAUGCGGAAGAGAUAAGUGCUGAAAGCAUCUAAGCACGAAACUUGCCCCGAGAUGAGUUCUCCCUGACCCUUUAAGGGUCCUGAAGGAACGUUGAAGACGACGACGUUGAUAGGCCGGGUGUGUAAGCGCAGCGAUGCGUUGAGCUAACCGGUACUAAUGAACCGUGAGGCUUAACCUU